RNAcentral lists this ribosomal RNA (468 nucleotides) under uncultured bacterium. RNAcentral describes it as "partial 16S ribosomal RNA". It matches the Rfam family "Bacterial small subunit ribosomal RNA", at positions 28 to 507 of the family's 1533-position model. The record is from RNAcentral.
GACGAACGCUGGCGGCGUGCCUAACACAUGCAAGUCGAACGAAAAGUUCCUGUCUUUGUGCGCUGCUCGGGUGGCGAACGGGUGAGCAAUACGUGAGUACCCUGUACCUGCUUUAGGCGUAACCUAAUGCCACUGGGUCACAUAACGGAUAAGAGUUACCGCUGCAUGGUGGGGGCUGGUAAGUUUCGGCGGUUGGUGAUGGAAUCGCGGCCUAUCAGCUUGAUGGUGGGGUAGUGUCUUACCAAGGUCAUGAAGGGUAGCUGGCCUGCGAGGGUCACCGGACACAUUGGGACGGAGAUACGGCCCAGACUCCUACGGGAGGCAGCAGUGGAGAAUAGAGCACUAUGGGCGGAAGCCUGGUGUAGCAACGCCGCGUGCGGGAUGACGGCCAGCGGUUUGUAUUCCGCUUUCGCCUGAGACGAAGCGUGAGUGACGGUAAUGGGUAAAGAAGCACCGGCUAACUACGUG